This 450-nucleotide ribosomal RNA is filed under the name Pseudonocardia sp. RNAcentral describes it as "bacterial SSU rRNA". It matches the Rfam family "Bacterial small subunit ribosomal RNA", at positions 105 to 570 of the family's 1533-position model. Lineage: Bacteria; Bacillati; Actinomycetota; Actinomycetes; Pseudonocardiales; Pseudonocardiaceae. The record is from RNAcentral.
GGUGAGUAACACGUGGGUGACCUGCCCCCAACUCUGGGAUAAGCCCGGGAAACUGGGUCUAAUACCGGAUAUGACCACAUGUUGCAUGACAGGUGGUGGAAAGUUUUUCGGUUGGGGAUGGGCCCGCGGCCUAUCAGCUUGUUGGUGGGGUGAUGGCCUACCAAGGCGACGACGGGUAGCCGGCCUGAGAGGGCGACCGGCCACACUGGGACUGAGACACGGCCCAGACUCCUACGGGAGGCAGCAGUGGGGAAUAUUGCGCAAUGGGCGGAAGCCUGACGCAGCGACGCCGCGUGGGGGAUGACGGCCUUCGGGUUGUAAACCUCUUUCGACCGGGACGAAGAGAAAUUGACGGUACCGGUAUAAGAAGCACCGGCCAACUACGUGCCAGCAGCCGCGGUAAUACGUAGGGUGCGAGCGUUGUCCGGAAUUAUUGGGCGUAAAGAGCUC